Molecule: ribosomal RNA, 253 nt
Filed under: uncultured bacterium
Lineage: Bacteria
Description: partial 16S ribosomal RNA
Rfam family: Bacterial small subunit ribosomal RNA
Source: RNAcentral
UACGUAGGGGGCGAGCGUUGUCCGGAUUUAUUGGGCGUAAAGGGCUCGUAGGCGGUUUGUCGCGUCGGGAGUGAAAUCCACUGGCUUAACUGGUGGCUUGCUUUCGAUACGGGCAGACUGGAGGUGUGCAGGGGAGAACGGAAUUCCUGGUGUAGCGGUGAAAUGCGUAGAUAUCUGGAGGAACACCGGUGGCGAAGGCGGCAUCCUGGACCGACACUGACGCUGAGGAGCGAAAGCCAGGGGAGCAAACGGG